Long non-coding RNA from Hibiscus syriacus, 943 nucleotides. RefSeq lists it as uncharacterized. The record is from RefSeq and is a predicted model, not a curated record. The transcript has 2 exons. Lineage: Eukaryota; Viridiplantae; Streptophyta; Magnoliopsida; Malvales; Malvaceae.
AUAACGAAAUAGACUCUGUGGUCUCUCUUGCGUCUCCACGUUGGAGGCUUCGCCGAGCCAGUCGCCUUCACCAGUGAAGUGACAAAAUACGAACCGUAAAGCCCUCUUCGCUUCCUUUUUCUUCCCUCUUUCUAAAUCUAAGCUCAGUUUACACAAAACACUUCUCAAACGACGAAGAUCUCAAGAACAAGAUUUGUAUUGCUUCAAAGAGAGACUAAAUAGUAAUACAAAAUUUUGGGGGGUUUAUUUCUGAAAAACUCCUUGGUUUCUUAUGAGCUCUCUCCUUUGUUUUUGUUUUUUUUAACAAAAAUCCUCAAGUCCUUUUAGAGACUUUCAUGGACGUUUUUCUUUCCAACGAAGGAAAGUGUCUUCUUUCCUUCAUUUGGAGGCAACCCCUGAUUCUUUACUUCGAGGGUGGGUUUCCUGAUGUGAACACAAACUUUGCUUAAUCUGGAGGCCAUCUUAGAUGUUGCUGAUGUGGAGAGGCGUACGUGGUUGCAUAAAUGGAAGAAUGGUGUGUGUCCCCUUUUGCCAAUGUGGUCUGUGUUGAUUAGCCAAAAGCAACUGGUAAGAAAACCCUUCCCUUAAUUGUUGAUGUGGUCGGUCGAGGUGGCUGUGGGAGAUCACCCAGGCGCAUGCGGUCUACCUAGAUCUAAUCUACCACAUGAGUAAAAAGGUUGGAGAGCCUUACGUGUAUCACACAUGCAUGAUAUGCUCUCUUUCCUUCCCUCUAGGUCGUUGUAUAUAGAUCUAGAUUCAACGGUUGGUCUUCGCAAGCGGCGAUGACUGAUUCGUUUACUAGGUUUUGAAUUAGUUUAGAUAGUAGGCUGCUAUAGUUUAUUAUUGGGCCAAUUAGGUCAAUUUUGUUAGGCUGAGUUGAAAAUUGUAACAAAGACUUUUAAUUUGGAUUGUAACGUGGACUUGGGUCUUUUAUAUAUUUGAA